GAGAGUAAAACAGUACGUGAAAUUGUUGAAAGGGAAACGAUUGAAGUCAGUCAUGCCGGCGUUGGAUUCAGCUUGCUUCGCGGAGCGGGCGCAUUUCCUCGCAUGGCAGGUCAGCGUCAGUUUUGCGCGGCGUGAAAAGGCUCGGGUAAGGUAGCUCUCUUCGGGGAGUGUUAUAGACCUGGGCAAAUGCGCAGCGCGGGACUGAGGAUUGCAGCGGACACCUCUUCGGAGGCGCGGCGACCGAACCCUGCUCGGCCACCCUCGUUCGAUAGCGUGCUAGCGGACGCGGGAGCGGCAGUGCACCGGAACAGGCAAGCCAGCGGUUCGCUUAGGAUGCUGACGUAAUGGCUUUAAACGA
Molecule: ribosomal RNA, 358 nt
Filed under: uncultured Archaeospora
Lineage: Eukaryota; Fungi; Glomeromycota; Glomeromycetes; Archaeosporales; Archaeosporaceae
Description: partial 28S ribosomal RNA
Source: RNAcentral